CCCUUAGAUGUUCUGGGCUGCACGCGCGCUACACUGAUGCGCUCAACGAGUUUUAACCUUGCCUGGAAAGGUUGGGUAAUCUUUUUAAAACGCAUCGUGAUGGGGAUAGAUUAUUGCAAUUAUUAAUCUUCAACGAGGAAUUCCUAGUAAGGCCGUGUCAUCAGCGCGGCCUGAUUACGUCCCUGCCCUUUGUACACACCGCCCGUCGCUCCUACCGAUUGAAUGAUCCGGUGAGGUCUUUGGACUGAGGCGACGCAGACGGUUCGCCGCCCGCGACGCCCUGGGAAGCUGCCCAAACCUUAUCAUUUAGAGGAAGGAGAAGUCGUAACA
Molecule: ribosomal RNA, 330 nt
Filed under: uncultured eukaryote
Lineage: Eukaryota
Description: partial 18S ribosomal RNA
Rfam family: Eukaryotic small subunit ribosomal RNA
Source: RNAcentral